RNAcentral lists this long non-coding RNA (323 nucleotides) under Elaeis guineensis (African oil palm). RNAcentral's name for it is "long non-coding RNA (EGUI_LNC001800)". The record is from RNAcentral. Lineage: Eukaryota; Viridiplantae; Streptophyta; Magnoliopsida; Arecales; Arecaceae.
UUGCCUUGUAAUCUUUUGUUCCGCUCUCCUUUUGUACUGAACUCUCUUCUGUAUUGAACUCUUUUUCAAUGAAAUGAAGUGAUUUCUCUUUUCUUUUUAUUCUUGUGUUGUCUGACUUGACUUGUUUGCUUGCUUGCCUUGCUAACUUGCUUAUUUUUGUACAAAAUUGACUAAGUGAUGAAGUCGGCAAUGUCAAGUAGAGUAGUCAGUCGGAGGCGGCAAACCAAAUAGGCUGUAACUGAACAUAUAGACCUAAAAAAAUCUCCAAGUCAUGUAGUCAGUUUUUUAUAGGCGAAGUUAGUUAGAUCUAAGACGUAGUCGUA